UGGACCCUACUUUUGAACUAAAGAUAGUCUUUCUUACUAGCCAUAAGUCAUUCCCACUUGUGCUGUUAUAAAAUAUUAAAUACAUUUAAACUAAUCUCUCCUAAGGGAAUAAAAAUGGGAUAUUUCUUUCAACAUAUUUAGCACACCACGCUUUGUAAUGAACUUCAGUCUUGUUUCCAGUGUUGAAUCAUGGACCUCUGAAGAAGCGAAUGUUUCUCAACACCAUUUGCUCUUCUCACCAAGGCUUUGGGAAGUAGCAGCCUCUGGUUCAGCUAGGAAAAUGUGAUGCUUCUCUUGCAGAUUUCACUGAUUUUUCUAUCAAGGCUCUCUUGUUGCCCAAAUCAGUGGUUAAAUGACUUCAGUGUCUCUUAAGAUACUCAAAUGCAUACUUUACUGAUUUAGAGAAUACUGAUAGAUCCCAACAGAGUGGGUGGUGAAUGAAUAUGAUCUCUCUUUAGCUUUCAAGAAAGAUUUAUAAAGAUUUUUGGUUUCCUUUUCUGGCUCACUUUAUGGCUAGAUAAUACACUCUGAAUUGUUAUGGUUCUGUUCUGCCUACGAUGGGACGGUUGGCUGCUGGUUUGUUGUCAUGGUUGCUCUAAUCUAAUAUUAUAGAUUCUCUUCAAAUCUAGCAAAUGCCAGUAACUACUUCUGUAAAUUUGGAGCAACAGUUAUAUUUUGUGUAUCAGUUUUGUCAUUUGUAAAUGGGAAUGGUAGUACUUAUUGCAUGAGUAGUUUGGAGGUUUAUGAAACAUUGUGAAAAUUAAGUGCUUAACACAGUACUUAGUCACAACAGACAUUUAACGAAUAGCUAUUCAGAUUAUUAUGUAAUGUUAUAUACAUUAUGUUAUAUAAAAAUUUUAUAUUCAGAUUUCUGGAAAUGCAUACUUGACAAUUUGACCAGAGAGGAAGCCUCGUAUAUCUGUCUUACUAUGAUAUUUUUUAGUUUUCUAAGCCCAAUAUCUGACAUACCUGAGAACAAAAACAUAGUAGACUAUUAUGAUUAGAUGAGUUGACUGUUUUGAUCCUAUUUUAAUAGCAUAUAAUAUGGUAUUGUGUUAUACCACUUUAAUGCAGACCUUGGAAUGAUUAUAGCAGUUUUUUUUUGUUGUUUUUUUUAAAAAGGCAAGUAAGAUAUUUACUGACAUCUUUAGGUUCGUAUAUCAUUGGCUGAAGUCUGCAGAUCAUUGAGCACAGUCCAUGUCCAGAGAAGGUUACAAGCACUAAUAACAUGCUGAGUGUUUCACAAAUGAAGUCAACAUCAUUUGAAAUGAAAAUCCCUUUAAUGUAAUAGUAUGGACUAACCUACUAUCUUUAACAGUUACUAAGGAAAUAGACAAUCUGCCCUCAUGAAAGAGAGAAGAAAAUAUUAUCAAGCACUUAUAUUGAGCUAUGUAUUUUCAUUUAUAUAUCUCAAUUAACUUACUAAAAACCUUAUAUAUUUUAUACAUUAUUAGAUGAGGUAACAGAAAAUCAUAGAAGUUAAUGAACUUUUCCGAAAUUGGACACAUAAAUGAAUAGUGUAGCUGGAAUUCUUCUCAAUAUAAUAUUUCACGUUCUAGGCAGUAAAAAAGUUAACAUAACCAAGCUAAAAAUAGGAAUUGGUUAUUAUUCAUUCCAUACAUUAAAUACUUGUUGCUAGUUGAUAACUGUUAGAAAAUGCAGUCAAAUAGUUGGUUAUUAGAAGUGGAAAGUGUUUAGAGGGGAGAUGUAUAAUUUCUCAAAUCUCCUUUUUCUUCUUUUUGUGACUUAUUUUUAAAGAAUUUAGAAAAGAGGUUUUUAAGAUAUUAACAGAUUUCUAAAUGAAAUCUCGUGUCAAGAAAUAACAAGGGGAGUUCCCGUUGUGGCGCAGUGGUUAACGAAUCCGACUAGGAACCAUGAGGUUGCGGGUUUGGUCCCUGCCCUUGCCAGUGGGUUAAUGAUCCGCGUUGCCAUGAGCUGUGGUGUAGGUUGCAGACGCGGCUCGGAUCCCGCGUUGCUGUGGCUCUGGCGUAGGCCGGUGGCUACAGCUCUGAUUCCACCCCUAGCCUGGGAACCUCCAUAUGCCGCGGGUGCGGCCCAAGAAAUAGCAACAACAACAACAACAACAAAAAAGACAAAAAAAAAAAAAAAAAAAAGAAAGAAAUAACAAGGCCUUAGAAAUGAUAAAAUGUUUUAUUAAAUGCAAGUCCAUCGUAAUUAGUAGUCUAACAAAAUUAUGGCUCCAAUUUUGGGUAUUCUAAGUGAGUUAUUAAUUUUUUGACAUUAAAUAGAUCAAGAGAUUUGUGUUCCAAGACACAAACUUUUUUUUUUUUUUUUUUUCAUUUUAUGGCUAUACCUGUGGCAUACAGAAGUUCUUAGGCCAGGGAUCAAAUUGGAGCUGCAGUUAUGGCCUAUGCUACAGCAAUAGCAACACCAGAUCCGAGCUGCAUAUGGGACCUAUACCACACUUGUGGUAAUGCCCGAGGUAUCUUUGACCCACUGAGUGAGGCCAGGGAUCAAACCCUCAUUCUCACAUAGACAAUGUUGUAUCCUUAACCCAUUGAGCUACAACAGGAACUCCCCCAAGACACAGACUUUUAAUUUCAAUUCUUCCACUAACUCUAACUUGGUGACUUAGGAAAUUUUUUCACUUCUGCCUCUGCUUCUCUAUUGAUAAAAUAUUAAUUAUGAUGUCCUACUUCAUCAAAAUAAUAAAUUAGUAAAUAUAGUAGAAUUAUUUUGACUAUUAAGAUUAUAAAAAGUGAAGUUUGAGGUGUUAAUACAAUCUAAGCCUACUGAAUUUCAAAUUUUAUGAAACUUUUUUAUUAAAAAACUAUUGUGGAUAAUGUAAAGUAUUUCACUGAAGCAGUAAUGUCAUUUUAAUAUUCAGUGAUGAUAUUAAAGGAUUUAGUAUUGCUAACCACAGUUUCUUGUUCCAUAAAAGGAUGAGCAUCUUUCCUUUAUUUUUUAGUACUCUUUUUAAAAGCACUACUCACAAGUUGAAUGUUUUUAAGGCUAGAGAAAAAAAAUCCUAAUGGAAAAGUAAAAUCUCAACUUCUUGGCCUGAAACCAUGUAACACUGUUUUUCAGAUGGGAAAAAAAGGCAGAGCAUAAGAUGUGAUGAACCCUUAAUACUAUAAGCUCCUCUAACUGAGAUGUGGUGGUAAUUGCUUUUUAUUUUUUUGUAACAUCUCCUGGAAAUGGUAAUGCUUUCAAGUGAGGAUCAAAGAGAAUGACCUACAUAAGAAAUAGAUUGCAACAUGUAGUUACAUUUUUCAUCCUUUGUAAUAUGCUUCUUGCAUCUACACUUCUAAUAAGAAACACAGCAUAAUGCUCAUCAUUUUUUAAAAUGAGUUGUCACUAAGGUCAGAUAGGAUACUUGGAAACUAGGAAAAAAAAAAUACGAUUUCAACCAGGGUGUUAAUGCCAACAGAUGGAUCACUAGAUGGAUCAGUCUUCACAUACCAGACUUGUACAUUUAAAGGAAAUAAGAUCAAAAACUCAUAAAAAUGUAGCAAUGUGUAUUUUUUUCCUGAAUUUUAUAUAUGCACAUAUUAUGUGUAUUUUGUAUAUAUAUAUUAUGUAUAGUUAUGAAUUAUAUAUAUACAUACAGAUAAUUAUCUAUUUCUGAUGCAGUGUGUGUGUGUGUAUGUAUCAUCACAGAUUUCUAAAAGAGUCAUUAAUAACAAAAUUACACUGUGUUUAAGCUUAAAAAUAAGUUUAAUUCACAGAUUUUUGUUGUUGCUUUUCCAGCCUUGAAUAUAACCAGUCAGGCAGUGUACCUCGAAAUCUGUGAUUACCGGUAAUUUUUGCAAGGGGAAAUAUCUCUUGCCAACUCAUCACAAUGAUAAAUUUAUGUAAUUAGUAUUAUGUUCCUUAAUGUACAAAAUUUCCUAGAGGAGUAGCACCUUAAAAUAUUAUUAGGUAAACCAACAUAUCAAAUAUUUUCAGUAACGAAAGUUGCCAGAGAAGACCAGAGGUUCUGUGGACAGUUUUACUGUCUAAAGAUUGGCAGAGAAGGAGUUCAGUGAUACCAGGAAAAAUACUAACCACCUAAUUCACAAUUUUUUCCCAAGGGCUCCUUUCCUCUACUGAUAAAUUAAAAAAUAACUGACACUAUAAUGUUCCUUUAAAAAAUGAUGUGGUCAUCUUCUGGUUUUUUUUGUAAAUGUCCUUGAUAGCAGAAGAAGGUGAAACUAUUUAGAAAUUGCCCAGGUUGGGUGAGUACAUUAAAAUAGUCACAUUUGUUUUGAUUGAAAAUGAUUCCUAUCCUGUCAAGAUAUCCAGAGUGGUGUUCUAUAGUUAUAAAAUCACUAUUCCUUCAAAAGGUAAAAUUAAUUUCUGCAUAGAGUCUAAAUGUAGGCUUCCAAAACCAUUUCAGGGAGGCCAGAAUGAGUUGUUGGUUGUCUGCCAACAUGCACUUAACAAUUUUGGGACAGGCAUAAAAUGCUAUAAGGAUCCGAAAGGAAAUAGAAAUGAAUCAGUCAAUAUGCCUGCAAUAAAAGGAAAUGCUUCAAUAAAGAGUUAGCUGCAUUUUAUUUUGUAUAACAGAUUUAUCCCUUCCAUAGAGUUUGAUAUAAAUUUCUUGAAUAUCUGUGUAUUGAAAUCUUAUUUGUCUUAUAGUCAUGAUACAAUUUGAUAUGUAUUUCUAGUAGAAUAAAUAUUGUUUCCAGGAAAUCUGCCUCAAACAACAAACCACUUAAUUAACUUAAUGAAAUGCUUAUCUGUUAGGAGAAUAGUAUUCAACUAAAACACAUUAUAUAUAAAAUAUUGAAAAAAUUAAUUUCAGCUGGAACUGGUCCUGAAUUUUGAGGGAAAUUGUCCACCUCACGGAAUAGGCUAUUUUGAAUUGAAACCCUUUAACUUCUGUUACAACAUCUUACUAAUGUUCUUCCCCGUAGACUCUGUUCAGGCUUGCACCUUAGUGAAAGUGAUACUUUUAGAAAUGAACAAAUCAAUUCUGAAUAAACUCAGGAGAUGAUAAAAAUAUAGUAUUUUUCCAAGCAAAUAUGAAAUGUUCUUCAUAAUUUCAAAAAUUAUCUAUUAAAGAACCUGAAAAUUCUUCAUUCAUAGUGCAAGAGCUCCUUCUGCUUAUUUUU
RNAcentral lists this long non-coding RNA (5057 nucleotides) under Sus scrofa (pig). Its description in RNAcentral is "lncRNA (ENSSSCG00000052049.1)". The record is from RNAcentral. Lineage: Eukaryota; Metazoa; Chordata; Mammalia; Artiodactyla; Suidae.